Pseudopipra pipra is the source of this 1525-nucleotide long non-coding RNA. RefSeq lists it as uncharacterized. The record is from RefSeq and is a predicted model, not a curated record. Lineage: Eukaryota; Metazoa; Chordata; Aves; Passeriformes; Pipridae. The transcript has 2 exons.
UACUGCUGCGGAUGUGUGGGUGGAAAAACCAGUCCUAAUGUCUCUUUCAAACACAGGUCCUGGAUGUGUAUAGAAUCAACCAAAUCUCCUCACCUUCCAUGUAAACACUAUUUUUCAUGUGGCAGUAUUCUUGGACAUCACUUUUUAGCCCCAUAUGAGCAGAAGAUGGGAAGGGAAGCGAACGCAAGGCAAGGCAAGAUCACGAUGCUGUGCUGCUGGGCCAGAAGUGAAUAGAACAUCUUGUUACGGAAAUAGCCACGAAAAUGCUCCUCCCUGCAUUAGAAAACCAGCUAUUUAAAGCAGGAUCAAUUGUCAGUCCUCUUUGAUGCUGUUGUCAUUUGGAUAUGGUUUGUGCAAAUAAUAUUUUCUCAUGAAAGAAAACUUCCAGCAAUGACAGCAUUCCCCUGGCCACAUCCCCUACCAAAGGGGAGAAAUCAGCUCAUCCCUGCAAAUGGUGUCUCUCUCAGAAGAGGAACACCAGGAUCUGUGUUUUGUUUUUCCUCUAAGACUUUGGGCGAGUGAAUUUUGACCCCCAAAUGUCAUCAGGGUGGUACAAAUUGGGCACAAUUUCUAAGAUGUGUUGGAGCACUGGAGUUACAUAGGACAGUAUUCAUGUUAAAAUAGAAAUACAUGGAGAAAAUGAACAAACCUAUGUGAUUUAAAGCAAAGCCCACUUUCCCCUAAGAUAUGUAUAAUCAAACAGGAAAUAUAUGCCUUUGAAACAGAUUGCUCUACCUUUACUGAUGUCAGUGAGCAAAAAUGCUUUUAUUCUUGGCUAAUCACAGUGGAGUCACAUCCUUCAAAAAACUGGAAUUAUCAAACAUAGAUCUUCCAGGGAGAUGAACCCAUACUCAGCUUAUGCGCUCUCAAACUUUCCUCAAGCUGAAAUUCACAUCUGUAUCCCAGCUCUACAAUUCAAGCCUGCCGCUGUUUGUUAUUGUUUGCAUUGCUUCAGGGCCCACUUAGGGAUUGUACAAAGUGUUCUUUUUAAAAAAAUAAAUAUUAAAGUGUCCUCACAGCAUUCCAGAGAAGCACACUCCUUCUGUAAGGUGCUGCCUCCUGAUCAUUACAGAAGUACAGAAACUCUGGGGGCUUGAGGAAAAAUGAUUUUACAAUAUUAGGGGCUUGGAGUCAUCCUCAUUUCCAAUUGAAGGGAGAGCGCCAGACCUUUGAGGAGUAUUCAUAUGUUCUACAUAAGGGAACUUAAAGAACUCACUGGGCAGAGGGAUUGGAUGAGAUUUAGGCCACUUGAGCCAUGAUUUUAGAGGUAAGGAUCUCUUCUCGUUCUGACUAAUGAGUCCUAGCAGAGAAAGGGUUGUUGAGCCCUGAAGGCUGUGAAGAUACAACAGAGCUGUUGGAGAUGCCAGAGGUACAGAUCAUCUUCUUGUCUCUCCUAUAUUUGUCUCCUUGCCUCCAAACUCCUUGUUUUAUUUUUAUUGGGAUUUUCUUCAGAUGAACCCUAUUAAACGCAUCACUAGCAUUGAAAUUUGCCGAUGCCAAUAAACCCAUCUGUUUUAUUAACUAA